RNAcentral lists this ribosomal RNA (839 nucleotides) under Steinernema sp. 2 MN-2009. RNAcentral describes it as "eukaryotic LSU rRNA". The stretch from base 272 to 425 matches the Rfam family "5.8S ribosomal RNA". The record is from RNAcentral. Lineage: Eukaryota; Metazoa; Nematoda; Chromadorea; Rhabditida; Steinernematidae.
GGCCGUACCACGGCUGACUUAUGCAUGUACCCGCUGAACCGAGCUGAAUUUUCGCUGUUUGUUUCGAAGCCUUGUAUUCUCUCAACUAACGGCUAUGAAUGGUUUCUAUAGGUGUCUGGAGCAGUUGUAUGAGCGUGACUGUGGUGAUGGACAUUUGAGUUCUUGCGACUAGAAUUAAAGAAGUCUGUUAUGACUCGCCGUACUUAAAAAACUUCAAUUAACGUUUGAUCAAUUUGACUGCACCAGCCGUAGGUGUGCUUAAAGAUUUAUCAAGUCUUGUCGGUGGAUCACUCGGUUCGUAGUUCGAUGAAAAACGGGGCAAAAACCGUUAUUUGGCGUGAAUUGCAGACAUAUUGAACGCUAAAAUUUUGAACGCAAAUGGCACUAUCAGGUUUAUAUCUGUUAGUAUGUUUGGUUGAGGGUCGAUUAAUUCGUAACCUGCAGUCUGCUGUGAUUGUUUUUCCGAUUAGUUACUUGAUUUGAUUGAGUACUUUUUUGGAAUGUGAAUUUUUGAUCGUCUAAUUCGUUUCCUAAUCGAAACGAGCUAUUAUUUAUUUCUGUGCAUUGUAUGUUUGGUGCUUCGGCGCGUUUCUUGCCGACUGAUGUGUACAAACUUAACAGUAUGUAUAUUUUUCAAAGUUGUCAGCGGCCCUUACAGUACUUAACUCGACACAACACGACUCGUUUGUUGAGAAAUUGCGCAAGAAAGAAACUUUUCGUUUUACGACCUCAACUCAAGCAAGAUUACCCGCUGACUUUAAGCAUAUACCCGCUGAACUCUCCGCUGAACUUUACGCAUAUCGCGCGCUAGAACUAAGCUAUACCCCCAUAAAUCUAAG